GGGCACAUGGUGUAGUUGGUUUAUCACGCUCGCUUAGCAUAUUUCCAGACUUGGAACUGGUAGACGGCUGCGAGAGGUGUCCGGUUCAAUUCCGGAUGUGUCCA
Punctularia strigosozonata HHB-11173 SS5 is the source of this 104-nucleotide non-coding RNA. The record is from the annotation of a RefSeq genome assembly. Lineage: Eukaryota; Fungi; Basidiomycota; Agaricomycetes; Corticiales; Punctulariaceae.